AGGGGAUAGGUAUAUUUAAGCGACAGUCUUUGUUACUUACCCAACAGCAAAUAUUCAUAGUAAGUGAAAAAGACAAGAGGAAGAGACACUUUGACAAUUAAAACAAAUUCCAUUAGGAUGAGAUUAAAGCUCCUGUGAGGAGUUUUUGGUAGGUUAUUAAAUGUAUAGAAAUGAACAGUGAUGAAUCUCUAUCAUGUGAAAAAGCAAUGAGACUUGGUAACAAGAUAAAAUCAGCAAUUAUAUAAUAGUUACUAGUUUGUCCACAGGGGGCGCCAAAGUCACCACUGACAGAAAAUUACUCACAGGAGCUGUAAUAUUUCCGUCAAAAGGAUCUUAUCUGCUUAGCUACACUUUAAAGCAUGGUAAUAAUAAAACUAAUAACCACUCAGUGAAUUGUUUGGCAUUUAUUGUGCCAAUAUGGAGGUUAUUUAGUGUUAACAGAUUACAGUUGUAAAAGGACGGUGUCAAGAAAAAACGGGAAAUAGGUAAAAGUUAAACAUGUUUAUUACACUUUGUCUGCUCCCAAUGAUGUUUUGUUUCAGAUGCAUGGACAAAGGCAGACAAAGACAAAGUAGUACCCAAGAGCAAAUAGCUCUUCUCUUCUGCUGAUGCACAGUAUGUAAUACGCUUCUAAUUAGGCCUAUUUGCUAUGUGAGAGGGCUUUUAUUCCAGUGUUUGUCACAGAGAGAAGGACUGAUCUUUGAUCAUCUUCAAAGAUCAGAGUGAUGAUUAAUUUUCCAGCCUUUAUGAAGCAGUUUUAUCUUCAGGCUUUAGCAGAGGCAGAAGAAAAGAACACAGUCUUUCUUUGGUUUUGGAUAGUUUCAGAGUAUCUUAUGAGCUUGUGUAGCUCUUAAGUGUAAAAAAAGAAGACUGAAUCUUCUUCAGCCUUCACAGUUCAGUGUCACUUUGUGGUUUUCACAUCUGGUGAGUCACAGAGAGGAUUUAUCAGAAACAUAGAUGAUCUUGGAGUUACAAUGCUACAAAACAAGAUUAAAAAAACAAAAAAAAACCAAAUGUCUGACACAUGGGUGGCGAGUUUAAGUGGUGACAGCUGAAGUAAUUAUACAAAUACAAAGUCCACUUUCUCACAGCUUGAGGUUUAUUAUGAUAGUUCUGGUAAUUGGGAAAAAAGAAACAUGUACCAAAAAUAUUUUCUUACAUCCGAUUCUUUAAAACAUUACACAGUUAUAAAACAUACACAUAUAAGAAAAAUCUUUCUCUAGUGGAAAUAUUUAGAUCUAUCACAUCAGGAUGAGCUCAGAAGCUGAAUUCUUACAUGCUCGCUUUAUUUGGCAUACCAAGCAUAAGUGAGUUUGACAGCUUUAUUCUGUAACCAAAACUAAAAAACGAACAGAUUUUUUUCUCCUUGUUGGUUUAUUCAAUUAUUGUUAUUCCAAAGUUACACAAAAAGGCACAAAUCACAGACUUCCUCAUGACUAUUUCAUUUUCUGUUGUCUUAUUAUCAUGGCUGCCUGGAUUGUGUGUGUUUUACUCUUUGAACACAAGAGGGCACUAUUUAUCAAGCUAAGGCUGUUUGAAUGAGUCAUGUCAGAGGAGGAUCUUGCACUGAUGUCUUAAUUAUACCCACAUGAAAAACACGGCUAAAAGUAGGUGAAACGUCAACUCCCUGUGGUCAGUCCCCCAUAUAUUAUAAUCUUAAUGUAUGUGUUCUCCUAAAGGAAAAAAACAAGAACUAACCUCAAGAUUGUGAGAAAUGGGAAAAAAUGAAAAUUCAGUGUUGGAAAAACUGUGACUGAAUACAGAACAAAAAUAAAUGAACAUACAAAUGAAAUACAAUUAUUCUUUGGUUAUAAUGUGCAAAUUCAAAGAGCAUUUUAGGGGUCCUGGCAUACAAAAUGAUAAACUAGUAAUUAAUAAUGUGAUGAGACGGCAGUAAUGAAUCGUGGUUGACAUACAUGUGUGGCUCUUUGACUUUGCCAACUUUACAACACUCAUCUUACUUGGCGUUUUCUUCAGAAAAUCGAUGUGUUUGAUGCCAAAAGAGCUAUGAAUUUAUCAGGGUGAUCAAUGGAUCAAAACGAGGAGCAAAUCGAACUGGAAAGACAUCAAACAGAAUCACAGUUUAAUGGAAAUGUCAUCCAAGAAGUGCUUGUUGUGACGUACUAAAGCACAGUAUCAGGACAGAGCAGCUUUUGAGAACUGUCUAAAACACUUAUGGAUAUACUGAUACAAUACACAGACACAAAGGUUUUUCCCACCACCGUAAUCGUGGAUUUAACUCUUUUGUGUUUGUAUUUUCUGUGUGGGGUCAGACAAACCUUGUGAAACAGAUUGAUUGGCCGGUCUGUCAACAUGCAGGUCCAUCUUGUAAAGCUGACACACUUAUCCCCAGUCAGAGAAUGACCCGACCAGUCAGCAUCAUUUAGUGGAAAGAGACAGAGGCGAUGUUGGAUGCAGCUUUAGUGGCAAUUUUAUCAAAAAAGCUUGGUGAUUGUUGUUUAUGAGGUUUACUUCAUUUACAAAUUGUUAGUGAAAUAACAAUAAAGCUGCAUAUUCCCAUAUAUGGGCAUUGAAGCCAUUAUAUAUAGGUGGGGAAAGUCCCACCUACCUUCAAAGUGAGCUCAAAGACCCCCUUUUUCGUCUCUCAAAGCACUUACAGUCAAAUCCAAUCCACUGUCUCAUUACUUAAAUAUUUAAACCAACGAAACCCCAGUCCAAGUUUAAACUGUCACACAUUCAGCUUUUUCUCUGUAAGUUUGUAAUGGACCCUAGAAGGGGGGUGGGGAAUAACUGGAAUAAAUUAAAGCCACCGUGAUUGGUUAAUAUGACAAUCCAAUCAGUGAAUUAAUGAGUUUCCUUAACUGUACGCACAACACAGAGGUCAGAAAUGGAACCUUCAAAGAGGUAAUUCACAGCGGGUAGGCACGGUUAUCAUGACAAAUUACCGAGAUGACUGGAUGUUUCAGGGCAACAAGGCCCACUGACAACAAGGGCUGUGUGAGUGGGUAGUAUGAAUGCAAAUACAUGCAUCAUGAGUAAAAGAGAGAGGUCUGUGGUUUCUCUGCAGUCCUAUGACAGGUAUACUCUACCACUGCAUUAGUCAUCUGCGACAUUCAGUGCAAGAAUUUUCUCAUUACAUCACCCCGCCUACUUUUUUUUCUUCUGAUGCAAUUUGUCUCGUGUAAUAGGACUGUCUUUGGACAGACAUAUAGUCGAAGGCCUUGUACCUGUCAAGCUCAUGUGACAUAGUUUACACCUCAGCUGGGCACACACCGACUAUGUCAUAUGUUUUUGUUGCUCUGAUUGGCCCAUUAGAAAUAUGACAACUAGAACGUUCCUUUAACCACCCAUCAAGUAUUUUUCUCGGUCCUGCCCUCCUCUAACGACCUCUAUGGAGUUGUCCACAUCAAUGUGAAAUAUGUUUCAUGCCAUGUGUGUGUGUGAAAGAGUCUAUCUGCCAUGUGCGUUUGCAUUUCUGUGUAACAAAUCAGCCUUAUGGCACAACUUCCCUCAUAAAUAGGAAGUAGGAAGAGGAAGCUUAUUUACUAUGGGUGGCAGUAACAUAGACAUAAUAUAUGUAGAUGCCUCAAAGCUUGACGCUGCCUAUUGGAGCUCUCGUAUUGGCGGCCGCCAUCUUGGAUGGGUUCGCCGUGCACCUCCGGUGCAUUAAGGAAGUAGGAAUGCCCAACCAUAUUAACAACUCUCCGAAUCUCUGCCUGAUUUCUACACCGUUUGGUUUGUUACUAAUGGCAGGGAUGUAGCCAUAAUACAGGACAAUGUCUCAUAUUAAAAAUAACCAAACUUAUUUUUCAAUCCUGUUUGGGAAAUCUAAUCCUACGUGAUCAGGUUUCAAUACUGCAUUGGGUGCAUAGUUGCUCGCUCUCCAUUCAGCUCCCCCCAAGUGGGGAGACCCAUCCAAUAAGGCGGCGACGCUGGAUUAUGCCCCAGCACGUAAUGAAGCGUCUACAUGUAUAAUGUCUAUGGGCAGUAAUGCAGUUAAAUGCUGCCAUAAUACCUCAAAGCAGUAGAAGAAGAAAUCUCAUGUCAGGCAAAGAGGAAGACUUCAGUGUCAACAUCCUGCUGCUGAGCCUAAGAAGAGUUACCUCUAAGUUUGAAUGUAAAAGUAAGUUGUUCAACAAGGUAAAUUCAUUCAGAUCGUGCAAAAUUAAUGACAAAUACAAA
Non-coding RNA from Xyrichtys novacula (pearly razorfish), 4143 nucleotides. The record is from the annotation of a GenBank genome assembly. Lineage: Eukaryota; Metazoa; Chordata; Actinopteri; Labriformes; Labridae.